CCUACGGGUGGCAGCAGUGGGGAAUAUUGCACAAUGGGCGCAAGCCUGAUGCAGCCAUGCCGCGUGUGUGAAGAAGGCCUUCGGGUUGUAAAGCACUUUCAGCGGGGAGGAAGGCGUUAAGGUUAAUAACCUUGGCGAUUGACGUUACCCGCAGAAGAAGCACCGGCUAACUCCGUGCCAGCAGCCGCGGUAAUACGGAGGGUGCAAGCGUUAAUCGGAAUUACUGGGCGUAAAGCGCACGCAGGCGGUCUGUCAAGUCGGAUGUGAAAUCCCCGGGCUCAACCUGGGAACUGCAUUCGAAACUGGCAGGCUAGAGUCUUGUAGAGGGGGGCAGAAUUCCAGGUGUAGCGGUGAAAUGCGUAGAGAUCUGGAGGAAUACCGGUGGCGAAGGCGGCCCCCUGGACAAAGACUGACGCUCAGGUGCGAAAGCGUGGGGAGCAAACAGGAUUAGAUACCCGUGUAGUC
RNAcentral lists this ribosomal RNA (465 nucleotides) under uncultured Klebsiella sp. RNAcentral's name for it is "bacterial SSU rRNA". It matches the Rfam family "Bacterial small subunit ribosomal RNA", at positions 338 to 795 of the family's 1533-position model. The record is from RNAcentral. Lineage: Bacteria; Pseudomonadati; Pseudomonadota; Gammaproteobacteria; Enterobacterales; Enterobacteriaceae.